AGACGUCUACAUUAGUACCCGUGUAGUCCCAGCCGUAAACUAUGCUCGCUAGGUGUCAGGCAUGGCGCGACCGUGUCUGGUGCCGCAGGGAAGCCGUGAAGCGAGCCACCUGGGAAGUACGGCCGCAAGGCUGAAACUUAAAGGAAUUGGCGGGGGAGCACAACAACGGGUGGAGCCUGCGGUUUAAUUGGACUCAACGCCGGACAACUCACCGGGGACGACAGCAAUAUGUAGGCCAGGCUGAAGACCUUGCCUGAAUCGCUG
Molecule: ribosomal RNA, 264 nt
Filed under: uncultured archaeon
Lineage: Archaea
Description: partial 16S ribosomal RNA
Rfam family: Archaeal small subunit ribosomal RNA
Source: RNAcentral